This 1363-nucleotide long non-coding RNA is filed under the name Phoenix dactylifera (date palm). Its description in RNAcentral is "long non-coding RNA (PDAC_LNC000734)". Lineage: Eukaryota; Viridiplantae; Streptophyta; Magnoliopsida; Arecales; Arecaceae. The record is from RNAcentral.
GGAUCAAAAUACAACUCCUACACCCCUUUGAUGGUCCAGGGAAAACUAGAACAAAAGCUGUGAGUGAUUUAAAAUUCAUCUCUCCUGUUCAAAUGGGAAAAAGAAGCAAACACUAAAUACAUGGUAGAUCACAUGCAUAUGAGGAUCCCGAAGGAGGAGGAAAGGGUAAUUGCAUGUCCUUGUUAGCUUUUUUGACUGUUAGAACCUAACCAUGAAGUAAGAAUUAAGAUCUUGAGUGCAUAUCAAAAUUCCCUCUUAAGUCAUAAAAUCCACAGGUUAAGGACAUGGGGCCUAUUCCCUUAAAUCAUCUCUGCAACUAAGAAGUCAGUAAAAUCCUCCAAUGCAUAAUGUAAACCAUUUAGAUUUGCAUAAUUGCUAUUAAAACAGGUAGCAUUGCAACAGAAAAGGAUGUUUUAAUAGCCGUAUUGAACUCUGUUAAGAUAUCAUAAAGUUUUUUUCAUGUUCGAACAUCAGGUCCACAUUAGCGGAUGAGGUUUGUUGAAAAUCAAUAUAGCCAAAAUCAAUACAUUUAGCAGGCUUUAUAUGAAUGUUCAACUUUGUGAUUAGUAGAUGCUAGUUAGUCAAAGGGACGCCAAAUGUUUCCAAUUCAAGAUGCUAUCUCUUUUGCAAUUGAUAACUGUUAUUUGAUUCAAAGGCGAGCUGUAAAACAUAGCACAGUCUCCCACUAAUCGGUAAAUCUUAUUCAUGACUGUUGGCAGAACAUCUGGUGAAAAAGUUCUGCUUCUCCAAAGAAUAUUCAUUCUUUUCCUGCUGAGAACUACACUGGGGAUAUAUUUUAAUGAUUCUUGUUCUUUGUUAACUGGAGAAAUUGCUCGUGAACAGUUCAAACAAUCAAAGAAUUUAAGAACAUCUUUAGUCACGAGGAAGCACUUGUCUGUAGAAGAUAAUUGUGGAAGACAGUGACUGAGAUCUUAAGGAAUGCAGGUGGUGCUUGUUCAUAGAAAAAAACUAUGAAUACUAACUACGAAGGGAGAAAAUAAUUGUACCUUCUUUCCAAGUCAAAUGUUUUUGAGUUUUUUAAAACUUGUUACCUGAUUGAUGGUGAUAGGAAGAGGUUUGAACGGUAUCAGGAGUUUCUUUUUGUAUUUGAAGUCUAGAAGAAGAAAGUGAAAUGGAAGAACAUGGAUGGAAAAUUUUACAGGGGUGAGAAGUAAGUAAAAGAACAUAUGUAAGACCGAUCAUGUAAAAUUUUCUUUUAUUGAAGAUGCUAAUGUGCGUCAAAUUCUUUAAAUUUUUUUUUAAGCGAACUAUUGCGUAAAGUUAUGAGAUUUUGUAUAUAUACCCUAUAAAUAUGGCGUAUUGCAUCUCAUCGCUAUUUAAAUAUAUACCCCUCAAUCAUCAU